GUUUGAGGUCUUGUAAGGGAAACUGAAGGGAAUUGUGUAUUGAACAGGAUGGCUUAGACCUGCUCAACUUCUGAGAAUUGAGGCAAAGUGGGCAAUCCAGAUGUAUCACUUGACUUUCUGACUACUGGAAGAAUUUCCCUUCAUUAUUGCACACCAGGGGUAUCCCACAGAUUCAGAGGAUACAUGUGCAGGUUUAUUACAUGGAUAUACUGUGUUAAUAGUGAGUUUGGGUUAGUGUUACAAGAACUGGUGUUGCUGAGGAGAUGAUCACUGAACUUGGAUGUCAAUGAUCAAAGUCAACAGAUACGGGGGGCAGGGGUUAUGAUGGAGGCUACACAAAGUAGAAUAUCUAAAAUGGAACUAAAACUUGGAAUUAAAAUAUGAACAAAAUACAGACUUAUGAAAAUAACAUAUAUGUAUAUCAGAGGAAGAUACAUU
This 438-nucleotide long non-coding RNA is filed under the name Homo sapiens (human). RNAcentral's name for it is "non-protein coding LINC02343:14". Lineage: Eukaryota; Metazoa; Chordata; Mammalia; Primates; Hominidae. The record is from RNAcentral.